Molecule: unclassified non-coding RNA, 576 nt
Filed under: Hevea brasiliensis (rubber tree)
Lineage: Eukaryota; Viridiplantae; Streptophyta; Magnoliopsida; Malpighiales; Euphorbiaceae
Source: RNAcentral
GAAAAAUUGGGAAAAGAGGACUGAGAAAUGCAAGAACAGUGGACACGUACAGGAAAUGUAUUUCAAAUAGUCUAAGCAAGAGCCAUGUAAGACAUCCUUGAUAGAUUGCAAUCUCUGCUGUAGCCAAAAGAACACCCGAGAUCGCAUGGUCAAGAACUUCAACGCAUCGAAUUCGGGCCGAAUCUUCAAUUGGAAGCAUAUACAUAACUUGUUCAGUCACACCACCAGAUUCAGAAGUGAUGAGAUAAUACAGAACCCAAAAGAACACCAUCGACUGAGAGACAAAGUUAAAAACCUCAGCCGCUCCUGAAAUGAUAGAACUACCAAUCGAAAGCAUUAGCUUCGCACUGCCUCCAAGUACUGAUACACUGCUAGCAAACACUCGCUGCGAAAUAUCCAUCCCUUGAACCGCUAAUCCUUUUGCUUUCUCAACUAAAUCCUCCCUAGUGAUUAUCAACUCCCUAAUAAUUGCAUCCAGCUCGGUAUAAAUCUGGCCCCAUUCCUUGUUACUAAUCCGGUUUCUCAGGCUCAUAAGUUUGUGCGUGUACGGCGAUGGAGUCAUUAGAGAAGUUGAAG